AGUGCUGAGGGAAAGCUGAGGGUAUUGAAUUGCUUAUGUUCUGGAAAGGGGGAGUGAACGCUUGCAUGUUCAGCCUUUUGGUGUGCUGGAAAACGAAGAAGAGCUCUUAGUGGGAGUGAGUGGGUAUACUGCACCUACCAACCUGCAGUGAAGGAUACCCUCUCACAGCGUUUUCGACUGAUAUGGUUCAGCAGGGAAUUAAAUUAUGGGAUUUUGCUGGAAAGAAGCUGCUGAAGUCUUUUGAAACAAAAAUAUCUCCUGGAUGGAGCAUGCUAAGUCAAGUCCUGGAGGGCCUUAUGAAACUGUUCAGAUAAAAGCUUCUGAUAGUGUGUGUUUGCCAAUAUAUUAAUCGUAAUGUGGUGAAGCAAAAAUCCACCCCAAACUAUGAGAGACUCUGCAGAGUAAUUCCUCUAAUAUUUUAGCCAGUAUAUAGACUGAUGUUUUUGGCUUAUACAAAAGCAGACUUUCUAUUAGACUGCAAAAGUGAUCUCUAAUGAAAAAUAACACCCUUGGCCUGUGGUUUUGGCAGUUAUAUCUCAUUUCUGUACACUUUUCAGUCCAGUGAGAAGAGCUUAUUGUUGCAAACCUGUACUUGAGCAGUCCUUGCAACACACUGUGCAGGGAGAGCUCACAGGUAGUGCUCAACCAGGUUCGCAUGCACCAAGAGCUGCUUGGUGCCAUAGAAGCAGUGAGCGUGUGGGGGAAGCUAUGUUGGUUUGUGAAUUUCAUUAAAAAUCUGAGAUGUCUAUGCACGCAGCCUUAUUCACAGUUUUUUCUGUAUUGUGAUUUUAGGAUAUAACAAGGUGUUAACAAGAAAAACAUGUUUUCAUUAAAGCUGUAUACAAAAUGUAUCUUUGCCCUGAGCCCUUCUGUGUGUUUAUUUUUCUGAAACAGUCUGUUACUUAAAGAAACAAACAAAAACUGAAGCAGGGGAAGAAACUUUUUCCUUUCUGUGUAAAGGUCCAUUUCCACCCCUCCUUUCAUUUCCAGCCACUGAGGGUCCUGAGCUGCCAGGUGGACUGGGCUGGCCCAGGUGAG
This is a long non-coding RNA of Neopsephotus bourkii (Bourke's parrot), 1038 nucleotides long. RefSeq lists it as uncharacterized. The transcript is spliced from 3 exons. Lineage: Eukaryota; Metazoa; Chordata; Aves; Psittaciformes; Psittacidae. The record is from RefSeq and is a predicted model, not a curated record.